Long non-coding RNA from Engraulis encrasicolus (European anchovy), 1479 nucleotides. RefSeq lists it as uncharacterized. The record is from RefSeq and is a predicted model, not a curated record. Lineage: Eukaryota; Metazoa; Chordata; Actinopteri; Clupeiformes; Engraulidae. The transcript is spliced from 6 exons.
UGCAAUAAAUAUUUAGAUUUCUUUGCCCAUCCUUUUUGGAUCUACUAGUAGGCCUAGUGAUUUUAGAGGUCUUAACAAGUGGGCUAUGCAUCAGAUUUCAUUUCAAGUGAUGAGUAAAAUAUCCAGAAAGAUAUAUAAUCUGUUCUUUUUGCCCUCUAGCUUAGCACACUGAAUUCUUUGAGCCAUCUGGUGUCAAUCCGUGUGGGAAAAUGAUCAAUGAAAACAAUUUAAGAAAUGCAUCUUAUAGAUGUUUCAUAUUGUAGGCCUAUUCAGCCUAUUGUGUCAUGGUGGUGUUAUCAUUUUUCAAACUUUAUUUUUGUGUAAUAAUUAGGCAUAUUGAUACAUAAUCAUGUUCAUGUUUUGUGCUGUCUUGCUUUGCAGAUGACAGAAUAUUGCUGAAGGAUCCUACAUGGAAGCUGGCUGAUUACACGGAGUGAUUCCUCUGGUGUGGUGUACCUCAGAGAAAUAAACACUGUUGCAAGAGCUGAGAAGAUGGCCAAGAUAUCCUUAUUGCUGGAUGGUAGCUCUGGUCGUAGUGGACCAUAUCUGCAAAUACUUCUGAACAUUGACAGAAUUUCUAAAGAUGACUGAGAAUAUUACUGAAGGAUCCUACAUGGAAGCUGUCUGAUUACACUGAGUGAUUCCUCUGGUGUGGUGUACCUCAGAGAAAAUAAACACUGUUGCAAGAGCUGAGAAGAUAUCCUUAUUGCUGGAUGGUUGCUCUCUGGUCGUACUUGAGCCCCCUGGACCAUGUCUGCAAAUGCUUCUGAACAUUGACAGAAUUUCUAAAGGAUCGCUGAGGACUCCCCCUCCAUGCGUGACAUCUUUGAGAAAUUUCCACGCUUUCUGGAGAUGCCAAGUUUGACUGGAACCAACUUUGCAUCCCUCUGCACUGACACAGAGAAGGUUUCAAGGACCCCACUACUAGGAGGCGAGAGUUUGACACGGCAGUGUCAUCACUGCCAUGGAUGACAACGUAACCAUUCCUGUUGCUGAUUGCCUGACUUACGCAGUGACAAGCUUUUCAUGCUCUACUGGGUGUGUAACUUGGCAUAUCCACCACAGUUUAACUCUGUUUUUGCCUCUUUUGAAUAUGUGUACGAUAUAACCAUCUCAACCAACAAGUGGGCCAAGGUACUGGAACAUUUCUCACUUCAAGUUGCUCUGUAGUCACUGGACAUUUUUUUAAACAUCUACGCAGACACCACCACUCCACACCAUGUGUAUUUUAAUUACUUCUGAUUCCACUGACAUGCAGACUACAUCCUAUGCAAAUUCAGGUAAUUUACCUGGUACUGGAGAAACAGCAUUGUAUGCCAUUCUAAGUGAUACUUGCCUCCUUGUUUUGCAAAAAUGUACUGUUCUUUGAAUAUAACUUAAAGUAAGAUCAUGUUGACUCUGAGGUUUUCUCCGGUUGUCAAGCACAACCUUAACGUUUUGUAAGUAAGUAAUAGUCACAGGAUAUGCAUGCAUUUGUAA